Molecule: ribosomal RNA, 804 nt
Filed under: Nocardioides sp.
Lineage: Bacteria; Bacillati; Actinomycetota; Actinomycetes; Propionibacteriales; Nocardioidaceae
Description: bacterial SSU rRNA
Rfam family: Bacterial small subunit ribosomal RNA
Source: RNAcentral
CGAGCGGAAGGCCCUUCGGGGUACUCGAGCGGCGAACGGGUGAGUAACACGUGAGUAAUCUGCCCCUGGCUUUGGGAUAGCCACCGGAAACGGUGAUUAAUACCGGAUACGACCACUUCUCGCAUGGGAUGGUGGUGGAAAGUUUUUCGGCCAGGGAUGUGCUCGCGGCCUAUCAGCUUGAUGGUGAGGUAAUGGCUCACCAUGGCUUCGACGGGUAGCCGGCCUGAGAGGGUGACCGGUCACACUGGGACUGAGACACGGCCCAGACUCCUACGGGAGGCAGCAGUGGGGAAUAUUGGACAAUGGGCGGAAGCCUGAUCCAGCAACGCCGCGUGAGGGAUGACGGCCUUCGGGUUGUAAACCUCUUUCAGCAGGGACGAAGCGCAAGUGACGGUACCUGCAGAAGAAGCACCGGCCAACUACGUGCCAGCAGCCGCGGUAAUACGUAGGGUGCGAGCGUUGUCCGGAAUUAUUGGGCGUAAAGGGCUCGUAGGCGGUCUGUCGCGUCGGGAGUGAAAACCAGGUGCUUAACACCUGGCUUGCUUUCGAUACGGGCAGACUAGAGGUAUUCAGGGGAGAACGGAAUUCCUGGUGUAGCGGUGAAAUGCGCAGAUAUCAGGAGGAACACCGGUGGCGAAGGCGGUUCUCUGGGAAUAUCCUGACGCUGAGGAGCGAAAGUGUGGGGAGCGAACAGGAUUAGAUACCCUGGUAGUCCACACCGUAAACGUUGGGCGCUAGGUGUGGGGUCCAUUCCACGGAUUCCGUGCCGCAGCUAACGCAUUAAGCGCCCCGCCUGGGGAGUAC